GAUGAACGCUGGCGGCGUGCCUAAUACAUGCAAGUCGAGCGAACAGACGAGGAGCUUGCUCCUCUGACGUUAGCGGCGGACGGGUGAGUAACACGUGGAUAACCUACCUAUAAGACUGGGAUAACUUCGGGAAACCGGAGCUAAUACCGGAUAAUAUAUUGAACCGCAUGGUUCAAUAGUGAAAGACGGUUUUGCUGUCACUUAUAGAUGGAUCCGCGCCGCAUUAGCUAGUUGGUAAGGUAACGGCUUACCAAGGCAACGAUGCGUAGCCGACCUGAGAGGAUGAUCGGCCACACUGGAACUGAGACACGGUCCAGACUCCUACGGGAGGCAGCAGUAGGGAAUCUUCCGCAAUGGGCGAAAGCCUGACGGAGCAACGCCGCGUGAGUGAUGAAGAUCUUCGGAUCGUAAAACUCUGUUAUUAGGGAAGAACAAAUGUGUAAGUAACUAUGCACGUCUUGACGGUACCUAAUCAGAAAGCCACGGCUAACUACGUG
This 497-nucleotide ribosomal RNA is filed under the name uncultured bacterium. RNAcentral's name for it is "partial 16S ribosomal RNA". It matches the Rfam family "Bacterial small subunit ribosomal RNA", at positions 28 to 507 of the family's 1533-position model. The record is from RNAcentral.